UAAAGCCUUUCUUUGUCAAGAACCAUCUUCCAAAGAUAAUGGAAUGGUGGAUUGGGUGUUGUGUGAUGUUUGUCAACAAUGGUACCAUUGGGAUUGCGUUGGCAUUACGACGAAGCCGAAAGGAAAAUUUGAUUGCGGAUGCAAUGUAUCUUACUUUACUCAUGGAUCUGCGAAAACAUUUGACAUAAAUAUAAAGGGAAAUCGCUCAUUCAGAGGAUUAAA
Molecule: long non-coding RNA, 222 nt
Organism: Xenia sp. Carnegie-2017
Lineage: Eukaryota; Metazoa; Cnidaria; Anthozoa; Malacalcyonacea; Xeniidae
Exons: 2
Source: RefSeq, a predicted model, not a curated record